UGGGCAACCUGCCCCUCUCUCUGGGAUAACCCCGGGAAACCGGAGCUAAUACCGGAUACUCCGGCUGGAUCGCAUGGUCCGGCCGGGAAAGGUCCGCCGGAGAGGGAUGGGCCCGCGGCCUAUCAGCUUGUUGGUGACGU
Molecule: ribosomal RNA, 140 nt
Filed under: uncultured bacterium
Lineage: Bacteria
Description: partial 16S ribosomal RNA
Rfam family: Bacterial small subunit ribosomal RNA
Source: RNAcentral